This 1452-nucleotide long non-coding RNA is filed under the name Pogona vitticeps (central bearded dragon). Its description in RNAcentral is "lncRNA (ENSPVIG00000007206.1)". Lineage: Eukaryota; Metazoa; Chordata; Lepidosauria; Squamata; Agamidae. The record is from RNAcentral.
CCCUUAAAGCAGGCUAAGGGGUGCGGCACCGGCGUGGCGGUGGAGGGUGCUGGCAGCGGGUGUGGCGGGUGUUGUUCUUUUAAAAAAAUAACACCCUCACGAAUCGACAAAUAACUUUGUUAUUUGUUGCUUCACAGAGGCAACUUUGUGCUUUGUGAGUUAUCAGCUUUUGAUGAUUCACGAAGCGGGACGACUUGCUAAAAUGGUCAGUCGUCUCCAUCUCUAAUUUCAUCACAUGGUCUGAUACUCUACACUUGAAUUCUAUAUACAAAAGGCCUCUGUUUCAACAAAUGAGCAGAGUGGAAAUUGGUUUGUUGAAUGGAGCUCCCCCAAACCAGCAUCUCUUGGAAACCAUCAGAAGUAGAGCCCUCUGGUGCGUACCCACCUGUUUGUUCUCUUUCUUCCAGUACUGAACUUUGCUUGGGAUAGCAGAAUGUUUAUAAUUGAAAUCUGACCAUCCCACUUGAGUUUCCUCUUGUUCUACGUGUACAGACAAAUUUAAGGGAAGCCAAAAAUUGGAUGUCUUUUGUUUGCCCAAGUGUUUGUAGUUUUAUGUGUAACCGGCAGCCGGGAAUUCGUUUAUUUUUUUCUUUGUUCUCUUCAAUCAACCUGAUGAUGUCUUUGCCAAGAUAUGUUUGUGUUGGCUAUUCCUGAAUUCCAUAAUUUAUACUGUACUUGUUUCUUUGUAGCUGAUGCAGAACAUGAGUUUCUACCUCCUGUUAAAACUCCCGCUGAUGAUGUAGUCGGCAUAAAGGCAGCCUCUCUACCAGCACCACAGCUUUCUGUUGCUCUUCAGAACAUCUCCCUCAAGCAUCCUUGGAUUGAAAUACAAAACACAGUACAUAAUCUUUGUGGUGGCCGGCAAAACCGAAGGGACAGUGAUGUAUUUGCUAUUGAGGUCAUCCAGGAUAAUGCUGAAAAUGUGGCUGAAGAAGAGCACAUAGAAGCAGAAACUGAAGAUGCAGGUACUUAUUUCUGCAUGAUGUGAAAGAAUGAAACACAUAGUUUGUGCAGUAUUUUCUGCACCCUCUUCAGUGCCAUUACCGCUGUUACAAGGGUCAAAGCGAAUGAAGUCAAACGAAGGGGAACAGAUGUCAUUGCGGAAUCCUAAGGAUAUGUGUUAGCCUUCUCUGGCAUCCUAUUGUCUGUAGCGAGGGAUGGCACAGAAAUAAGGAUGGCUACCCUCUUACUCUGGAUGACAUGGCUAGGUGGCUUAGUGCGGCUGCACUCUUUCCUGUGACGCUCUCUUGAUCUUGGCCAGUCAGAUUCAGGAUUGGCCUGCUAAGGGAGCAGGACUUUCUUUGCAGACCUGAAGCAGAGAGCAUCCGUCUCUGAUCUGCCUAGAAAACAGCUGCCUAGAGUGGUCAUACCGACCAGAUAGGCAGGAUAUAAAUUGAAUGAAUGAAUGAAUGAAUGAAUAAAUGAAUGAAUGAAUAAAUGAAUAAAAGAUGA